This is a non-coding RNA of Trichonephila inaurata madagascariensis, 73 nucleotides long. NCBI's taxonomy places the organism in Eukaryota, Metazoa, Arthropoda, Arachnida, Araneae, Nephilidae. The record is from the annotation of a GenBank genome assembly.
GUCCCUGUAGCGCAAUAGAUAGCGCGUUGGCCUUUUAAUCCAAAAGGUAUGGGUUCGAAUCCCACCUGGGAUA